This 4038-nucleotide long non-coding RNA is filed under the name Marmota monax (woodchuck). The record is from RNAcentral. Lineage: Eukaryota; Metazoa; Chordata; Mammalia; Rodentia; Sciuridae.
CAUAAAAAAAUGAAUAAAUAAAUAAAAUAAAGGUAUUAUGUCCAUCUACAACUAUAAAAAUAAACAAAUAUUUUUUUUUUAAAAAAGACAUUGGUCUGAUGUGCUCUUUACAUUUUAUUGAUAGACAUUAAAAUACACAACUAUCAAAAAUAACAUUUACCUGUUGUGAAAGUUCAAAUUUUAUUCUACAAAAGGAUGGAUGUUUAAAUCUUAACCCCCAGUUUAAAUCUUAAUCCCUGCAUAUGGGGACUUACAUGGAAAUACGGUCUUUGCAGAUGUCACCAAAUUGAGGUCAUGCUGGAUUAGGGUGGGCUUUACUCCAAAGACUGGGGUCUUUAAAAGAGGAAAAUUUGGAGACAGACAUAAAGCCCGGGGAGAACACAGGAGGGAGGCAGAGACUGGUAUGCAGAUAGACCCUGAGGACUGGGGGAGAUCUCCAGAGGCCAGAUGGAGGCAAGGAGGAUCCUAGAACCUCUAGAGGUCGCUGCCCUUUUGAUUUCAGACGUGUGGCCUCCAGAACUGUGAGAGCAAACCUCUGUUGUUUAAAGCCACCCGCUUGGUCGCGAUUUCUGCAGCCCUAGGAAAUGCCGACCCGCUGUUCUACCUAAGGUCCGUACACUGACCCACCAGUGGGAGGCGCUAACACUUGGGGGAGCGCCGGGCUGGGUGCUCCGUGACCCCGCCCCAGAUCAGUCACGUUCACACUCAGUUAUGACCUAAUUAGAGGUUAUGACAUUAAAAGAGGUUAGUGCUCCUCUUUAUCAGUGUGAGAAGGUGCUGUGUGAGCCAGGUUUGAAGGGAUCCAUUCUGAAAGCCAUCAUGUCUGUGCAUCUGAGCUGGCUGUUCAUACCUGUCUAUCCCGGAGCCAGAGUCUGGGGCGUGGUGAUUGGUCUCCUAGUUGUACACCUGGGCAUACUUUGCCCGGUGGAGGGCUAUUGCUGGAUGCUCUCUGGGGUUGGUUUUAUCUUGUGAUGAGUCCUUUCGGAUUGUAGCCCAAAUUGACUGGCUUUUAUUACCUUUGGCUCAGCAGUUUUUAAACCAAUAAGUGCAUGUUCCUACGCUCCCCAUUCCCACAUUUUGUCAUAGGAGAAUGCCCUUCCAUCUGCAUCUGUAUUUUCCAACCAUAGUGCUGAAUUAUCCGCAAUCUCUAACUUGAAUUCUCAGAAUUAUGUAGGCAUAUUUAAUACAGACUUAAAAUGUUAAAUAAACUGAAAGUGUUUUUGGUAAAUCUUUUUUCAUUGUUUAUCACAAGUCUACAUGAAGAAUUUGUAGGUAAGCCCCUUACAAUACAAAUUUCAAUGCGUCUUCUGUGUAAGGGUAGGCUGACUGUUAACACGGACCCAAAUGUUUACUCAGUAAAUAUUUCUCAAGCCCCCCUCUAGGCCAAGUACCAUGCCAGACCUUGCUGUGCUUCCUCACUUGUACCAAACCAUCUGCCAUAUGGAACCUGGGAAGGAUUGGUGUCCCAGAUUAUGAGAACUUCAUAAGGAAGGAAACUUAAGGACAGCCUCACUGCUUGCUAGCUUUAGAAUGGUGCUGGCCUAUAGUAUGUGCUCAAUAACAUCAGUUUCCCUUCCUGUCAAUUCAUUCCAGAAGCAGCUUGGUAUAUGGCUCCAUAGCCAGUUCUUUUUUAGGAUACUGAUGGCUUAGGACCCAUUCAUUCUGAUGGCUUAGGACCCAAAGAGAGGAGAUUCAGGAGAGGCCAUCAAGACAGAAGUGCAGAGUUCCAGGUCUCCAAAGACAUCCUGCAGCACUUUACUAGAUGCACCACUAGCAUACACCCUUAGGCUUUCACCUCACUGGGUCCUAGUGCCCCCAAAAUGCUGUCCCAUUCUCUUGGGAUAGUGUUCAGAGCCUGCAGUCCAUGAAGCACUGGGCUCCUGACAACAUCUUUUUUUUUUUUAAUAGCUUUUUGAAAUGUAAUUCACACAACUUUCCCACUUAAGAAUACAAUUCAGGGGGCUGGGGUUGUAGCUCAGCAGUAGAGCUCUUGCCUAGCAUGUGUGAGGCCCUGGGUUCGAUAAAUAAAUAAAUAAAUAAAAAUAAGUCAUUCUGUUCAACUACAAUUAAAAAAAAUUUUAAAAAUACAAUUGAAUGGCUUUUGCCAUAUUCAUAGAGAUAGGUAGUCAUCAGCCAAGUCAACUAGAGAGCAUUUUUAUUACCUUAAAAAGAAGCCAUAUACUCUUUAGCUAUGCGCCCUACACCCUAACCUCAAUCCCUAAGCAACACUAAUCUCCUUUUUGUCUCUAUAGAUUGCCUAUCCUGGACAUUCCAUAUAAAUCGAAUCAUGAGGUAGAAUCACCAUAUGAUCAAGCAAUUGCAUUCCUAGGUAUACACUCUAAAGAAAUGCAAAGAAGUGUCUAUACAAAAACCAGUAUAUGAAUAUUUAUGACAGUAUUAUUCAUAUUAGCCAAAAAGUGGAAACAACUCAAAUGGCUAUCAACUAAUGAAUGGGGGGGGGGAAAUGUGACAUUCUAUACAAAGGAAUAUUACUUGGGCACUAACAGGAAUUAGUUACUGACACCUGCUACAGUGUGAAUGAACCUGGAACACUAUGCUAAGUGAAAGAAGCCAGCCAUGAAAGAACACAUAUUAAAUGAUUUCAUUUUCAUAUUGUUCGAUGAAAGUGUAUAGAAAUACAAUUGAUUUUGUUUUCUGCGAUCUUGUUGAACUGAUGUGUUAGUUCCAAUAAUUUUUAAUUAGAUUCCUUAGCAUUUGGUACAUAUAAGAGAUACUUUUACUUUUUCAUAGCGAUCAGGAAGCCUUUAUUUUCUCUUUCUUACCCAAUUUUCCUGGCUGGAACCUCCAGAAUGAUAUUAAUAAAAGUGGCAAGAAUGGUCAUCCUUGGCUUGUUCCCACUCUUAGGGGGACAGCAUUCAUUCUUUCACCAUUAACUAUGAUGUCAGCUACAGGGUUUUGCAGAUACCCUUUGUUAGGCUGAGGAAGUUCCCUGGUUUGUUGAGUGAUUUUAUCAUGAAAGCAUUUUGGAUUUUGUCAAAUAUUUUUCUGUAUCUCUUGGGAUGAUCGAGUAGUCUUUGGGUUGUUUCAGUUCUUCUGUUGAAAUGGCUUGUAACAUUACUUGGGGAUGUUAAUUAACAUUGCAUUCCUAGGACAAAUCCUUCUUGGUCAAGGUAUAUAAAUAAAUCUUUUUAUAUGUGGCUGGGUUCCAUUUUGCUAAUAUUUUCUUUUGAGGAUUUCCUUAUCCACAUAAAUAAAAUGUUGGUCUAUAGUUUUCUUAGGAUGUCCAUCUGGUUUUGGCAUCCGGGUAACACUGGCUUCAUAGAAUUGGUUAGAAAGUUAUUCUUUCCUCUUUCACUUUUUGGAAGAAUUUGUGAAGAGUUGGCAUUAUUGUUUUUUUCCUUUCCAUGUUGAUAGAAUUCACCUAUAAAGUCAUUUGGGCUUGGACAUUCUUUGUGGAAAGUUUUCAUUUUAUUACUAAUCCAAUCUCUUUAUUUGCAGUAUGUCUUCUCAGAUUGUGUCUUUAUUUUUGAGUCAGUUCCAAUAGUUAAUCCCUUCCACUUAAGUUACAUAAUUUACUGACACAUGGUUAUUCAUGUAUCCCUUAAUAAUUUUUAUUUGUCUAAAAUUGGUAGUAAUAUUUCCUUUUUCAUUUCUGAUUCUAGUGAUUUGAAUUGUUGUCUUCUCCCCUUUUUUGGGUCAAUUUAGCUAGAGAUUUGUUAAUCCUAAUGAUCUUUUUGAGGAAUUGCUUUUGGCUUCAUUAUUUUAUUGAAUGACUUUUGGCUCAAAUCUUUGUUAUUUCCUUUUUUACUGCUUGCUUUAAUUUUAAUUUGCUCUUUUUUCCUAGGGUCUUAAGACAUUAUUCAUUUGAGAUCUGUCUUGCUUUGAAAUGUAUUUAUAGCAAUGAUUUUUAUCUCUAAGCACUGCUUUAGCUCACGCCCCCUGUACUGGGUUUUAUUUCCUGUCCAGUUCCAUGUGUCUCCUCAACUGUGAGAAAUUCUGCUAGUUCUCCCAGUUCUAAUUUUUUCGAUACCUUCAUUGUGGGAGGAAUCCAAACAUGGAGAAGACGUUUGGAUCUUG